RNAcentral lists this ribosomal RNA (406 nucleotides) under uncultured bacterium. RNAcentral describes it as "partial 16S ribosomal RNA". It matches the Rfam family "Bacterial small subunit ribosomal RNA", at positions 29 to 526 of the family's 1533-position model. The record is from RNAcentral.
AUUGAACGCUGGCGGCAGGCCUAACACAUGCAAGUCGAACGAGUGGCGGACGGGUGAGUAAUGUCUGGGAAACUGCCCGAUGGAGGGGGAUAACUACUGGAAACGGUAGCUAAUACCGCAUACCAUCGGAUGUGCCCAGAUGGGAUUAGCUAGUAGGUGGGGUAACGGCUCACCUAGGCGACGAUCCCUAGCUGGUCGGAGAGGAUGACCAGGCACACGGGAACGGUGACACGGUCCAGACGCCUACGGGAGGGAGCAGUGGGGAAUAUUGCACAAUGGGCGCAAGCCUGAGGCAGCCAGGGCGCGUUGAUUAAGAAGGCCUUCGGGGUGGAAAGUACUUUCAGCGAGGAGGCGUUACUCGCAGAAGAAGCACCGGCUAACUCCGGGCCAGCAGCCGCGGGAAUUC